GACGAACGCUGGCGGCGUGCCUAAUACAUGCAAGUUGAGCGCUGAAGGUUGGUACUUGUACCAACUGGAUGAGCAGCGAACGGGUGAGUAACGCGUGGGGAAUCUGCCUUUGAGCGGGGGACAACAUUUGGAAACGAAUGCUAAUACCGCAUAAAAACUUUAAACACAAGUUUUAAGUUUGAAAGAUGCAAUUGCAUCACUCAAAGAUGAUCCCGCGUUGUAUUAGCUAGUUGGUGAGGUAAAGGCUCACCGAGGCGAUGAUACAUAGCCGACCUGAGAGGGUGAUCGGCCACAUUGGGACUGAGACACGGCCCAAACUCCUACGGGAGGCAGCAGUAGGGAAUCUUCGGCAAUGGACGAAAGUCUGACCGAGCAACGCCGCGUGAGUGAAGAAGGGUUUCGGAUCGUAAAACUCUGUUGGUAGAGAAGAACGUUGGUGAGAGUGGAAAGCUCAUCAAGUGACGGUAACUACCCAGAAAGGGACGGCUAACUACGUG
Molecule: ribosomal RNA, 497 nt
Filed under: uncultured bacterium
Lineage: Bacteria
Description: partial 16S ribosomal RNA
Rfam family: Bacterial small subunit ribosomal RNA
Source: RNAcentral